RNAcentral lists this long non-coding RNA (1724 nucleotides) under Marmota monax (woodchuck). Lineage: Eukaryota; Metazoa; Chordata; Mammalia; Rodentia; Sciuridae. The record is from RNAcentral.
CAAUUUGUCUCCAUCUUCUCAUUUUAUUGUCAUUGAGACGUGAAUGUGUGAUGGUCUUACAGAGUGAUUACCUUUUCUUCUCUAACAUUCUAUAUAUAAUAUACAUGGUAUGAUAUCUUGCCCACCAUGAUCUUAAUCUCAAACAUCUUUUCAUUUUAAUCACAUAAAAAGAUGAAAAGUGAUGAAGGAGUUCAUCUCUAGGAGCAUCUCCUAUACUAUGUCAUCUCUUCUGAGAUCUUUAUCCAUCACAGAAAUGCCACUCAGUGUACACAAAUCUACCUUACUUCAUACUGAUAAAGACAUGGAAAGACUUUGGUCCACUCCUAGGUACACCACUUAUAAUCUACAUAACUUUAUCAGCUUUCUGCAUUUUCUUCAUAAUCCUAUCAUUCAUCCUGUAGCCCUCAAUGAGACACAAUGAUGAAGCACGUCCUUCCUUGGCCAGAUCCUGUCUAGGAUCUUGUACAUGAAAAUAUGAUUCACUGGAAUGUCUGCCAAUGUUCCAGCUAAACCCAUCCAUUGUGCCAUUAAAAUCAAGAAGUUGAUCAUAGUACAAACCAAAAAACUGGUUUUUUUCAGUUAAAGGGAAGGAUCUUUGUCAUUCUUAAAAUAUAAAUGCUGGUACUUUGGAUAACUGGUUUUUUUUAAUAUUUAUUUUUCAGUUUUCGGUGGACACAACAUCUUUAUUUUAUGUGGUGCUGAGGAUCGAACCCAGCACCCCGCACAUGCCAGGUGAGCUCAUUACCGCUUGAGCCACAUCUCCAGCCUGGAUAACUGUUUUUAUGAAAUAUAAAUAUAUUUGUCAGGUGAUGAGCAAGAAUACAAACAACAAAAUGAAUUAAUGUCAAUUUUCUGAGAGUAAAAAGCCACAUAUCAUUUACUUGUUCAUAAGUGAACAAACAGGAGAGAGAUUUUGUGAUCUAACACUGUAAAUAUUGUUGUGUAUUAUUAGACAAUAUUAAACAGCCUUCAAUCAAGUGGUUUGCAAGCUUAAUUCAGUAUAAUCCGCAGUAAAAAAAAAAAUACAACUUACAUCAGGCCAUAUACUUUUUCAUAUGUAUUUACAAGAAAAACAAAUACUAACAAGGUGCAGUAGUGCAUGCCUGUAAUCCCAACUACUUGGGAGGCCAAGGCAAGAAGAUAGCAAGUUUGAGGACAGCCUAGGCAACUUAGCAAGACCCUAUAUCAAAAUUAAAAAUAAAAAGUGCUGGGGUUAUAGUUCAGUGGUAGAGUGUCUCUGGGUUCAAUUUCUAGUACUCUCUCUCUCUCUCUCUCUCUCUCUCUAUAUAUAUAUAUAUAUAAUAGUAGGAGCAAAUGUGACUCCAUUUUGUUUUAUGACUUCAUCCUGUAAAACAACCAUGCCAAGUAGAAGAGUCAUGACUGGGUCAAGAUGUUCUUUUCCUUUUGCUAUAGAAACCUUUAAGAACACGGAACUACCUAAUGGGGUAUUGUUUCUGUAACUAGGGUAACAGGUUCUGUUUCUGUAACUGGGGUGACUAGGCUAACUGUGAUUGGUUAGGCUUCCCUCUGCUUGACUGCAUUGUCCCGCUUCUGUAACCUGGCUUGCUUGCAUUGGCUAGACCCCCCCCAACAUCCCUUUUGUGGUUUUCAGGCUUAGAAGGAGUGCCCUUGCAAUUGUUCGGGGCUGAUCAGGGGAACAGCUUUAUGUUCUGGUCAGCCGCCACCGGUGUGCUUCAAUAAAGGCUUGAUUCAAUUAUACGUGA